Molecule: ribosomal RNA, 2553 nt
Filed under: Triticum aestivum (bread wheat)
Lineage: Eukaryota; Viridiplantae; Streptophyta; Magnoliopsida; Poales; Poaceae
Description: partial small subunit ribosomal RNA
Source: RNAcentral
AUGCUGGCCGUCCCUUGUCGGUUCGAAAUGGAAAAGCGAACAACUUUUUACCGUGAUCUGGUACAGAAGUGUCCAAUGAGCUUUCGGCAGCAUUCAUUUCGGAUCUACCCAACCUAUGCUGGAGUAGUUUUUAUUAACCCAUUCUGUCGCCUUGUUCAUCCAGCAUUCCACUCACUUCCACUGCCGCUGCGUGUUCACUCCCUUGGCUUGCCCACUACAUUCUCCACCGAAAAGAAGAGCACAUCGAGCAGGAAGAUGGAUGCCCAGGGCGCGAUCGACUCGCUCCUGGGCCGCCUCACCACCGUCCUUGUCAGCGAGGCGCAGCUGCUGGGCGGCCUCCGCGGUGACGUUGAGUUCAUCAGCGACGAGAUGGAAAGCAUGAACGGCCUGCUCAUGCACCUUGCCGAGUCCCACAACCGCGACAACCAGGUCCGGGCGUGGAUGAAGCAAGUGGCUGGCCUCAGCCGCGACUGCGAGGGCAACGUCGAGCUGUACAUCCAGUACGUCGGAGGUGCUGGUCCCGGCGCCAGAAAGGGCGUCCUGGGCUCCUUGCUUCGGAUGCUUCGCUUUGUGCGGACCAUGUCCGCCCGCCACCGUAUCGCGACGCGGAUCCGGGAGCUCAAGGUCCGGGCCCGUGACGUUGGCGACAGGCGGGAGAGGUAUGGCGUCACUGUCCCGCCGGCACCAUCUCGCACCAUCCCCGAUGCUUCGGCUCCGCAGCCGGGCGGACCUGAGGAGGAGGAGGAUCUGCGAAGACGUGAGUUGCUCUGUGGUGAGGAGGACAUCAACAAGGUCAUUGAGUGUCUCCCCCAAGAGAACUUGAUCUGUAUUGAAGGAGAGGGUAGCGUGGGGAAGACAGAUAUCGCACGGAAGGUGUUCAAUCACCCUUCCGUGGUGACAAAUAUCCGCCACAGGGUUUGGGUCAACAAUGGAGGGCUGAACAGAGAAUAUCACGAGGUACGUAAGGAGAUACUAGAACAACUACAACACAAGAUGAAGAGCUUGAGGGAAAUUGGCAAGCACUCAAGAAUUUCUGAGUAUAUGUCAGAUGGAAACGUUCUAAUCGUUCUUGAUGGUGUCAAUGACCAACCAAAGGACUACAGUUCCCUAAGUUGUUCUGAACUCGAAGCAUUUACAUACAAUGCAGUACCUCUGAGUGUUCAUCUUUCCGCUGGAUUAUACAGUGACUUUCGUCGGAGAGAUGUUUAUGUAAUAAUGACCGGAAAUCACUUUUAUAAUGACCACAUACGCACAGGAUAUUAUGCCAAAAAGUUCCGGUGUGAAACUCGUCCGAAUUUUUUCAGAAACAGAGCAUUGGGCCUUGCCAAGUGUGAAGGUUCUGCUGUAUUGGCAGUUUUAACCAAGUGCUACCACGGCACCCUUGCAGCGCACCUGUUCCUUUGUCUACUGUAUGUCAAUCCUCGCAGGGCUACGGCGGAACUGGAAACCUUAUGCCGUGUCCUAGAGGAGAGCAGAAACAAUACUGAUAAGACGAUACUUAUGGUCUGCUACAACGAGCUCCCUGGUCAUCACAAGAGCUGCUUGAUGUGCCUAUCAAUCUUUCCUCAAGGACACAUAAUCAUGAAAGCUGAUCUGCUGAGGAGAUGGGUCUCUGAAGGACUGAUAACCAAAAGAAGCGUUGGGACGAGCACGCUGCAUGAUCAGGCCGAGCGCAUCUCUGACUCACUGGUCACUCGAGGCUUUAUAUGUCCUGGAGAAAUCAGCUCUGCAGGCAAGAUUAAGAGCUUUACAUUGAAUUCCAUUGUUCAUGAUUUCAUCGUUACAGAUGUAGGCUUCGUGGAUACAUCAUCACGGCCUGAGCUAGCUCACCGCUUCUCCAUCAACAGUGGGGUAGCAAUACAGGAAGAAUCUCUUUCUGAGUCUGAUUCCGAUCCAUCCGGCCAUGGCAUCUUAACUACAAUUGAGUCUCUGGCCGAAUCUGGUCAAUGGCAGUUUCUGAAGGUGCUGGAUCUUCGAGGCUGCAAAGGGUUGAAGAAGAAGCAUCUAAACAGUAUUUGCAAGAUACUGCUGCUCAAGUAUUUGAGCCUCAGGAAUACAGAUGUCGCUGAACUGCCGAAGGACAUUGAGAAGUUGCAGUGCCUGCAGACAUUGGAUAUCCGGCAGACGGCGGUACGGGUACUUGCCACAAAAUCUGUUGUGCUUCCAAUGCUAAAGCAUCUGCUUGCUGGGAAGAGAGACUCUCCGACUCCAAGCAACGACUCUGAUACUGAUAGGUUCGAAGAGUCGUUUGCGGUGGUGCGCCUUCCCAGGAGCAUCCGAAGAAUGGAAAAACUUGAGGUGCUCUCCCAUGUUGAAGUUGCCCAUAGUGACGAUCUGACUGACGUCGGCAAGCUGCUACGUCUUAGAAAGCUUGGGGUGAUUCUCCAGGGUAAGAAAGAAGAACUGGAACUUCUGUUCCAGCAGGUUGAAAAAUUGUAUGGUUGCCUCCGCUCCCUGUCAAUCCAGAUGGACCAGCAGACGAAAAGCGAGAGUGGUAAGAUCGGCCUCACCUUGGAUUGCUCAGACAAGGGGCCUCCCAUUGAUUCCCACUAG